UACGUAGGCAGCAAGCGUUGUUCGGAGUUACUGGGCGUAAAGGGUGUGUAGGCGGUUCCUUAAGUUUGCUGUGAAAUCUCCCGGCUUAACCGGGAGGGUGCGGUGAAUACUGAGGGACUAGAGUACGGGAGAGGAAAGUGGAAUUCCUGGUGUAGCAGUGAAAUGCGUAGAUAUCAGGAGGAACACCGAUGGCGAAGGCAGGUCUCUGGGCUGACACUGACGCUCAUGCACGAAAGCGUGGGGAGCAAACAGG
Molecule: ribosomal RNA, 253 nt
Filed under: uncultured bacterium
Lineage: Bacteria
Description: partial 16S ribosomal RNA
Rfam family: Bacterial small subunit ribosomal RNA
Source: RNAcentral